GGGAAUGUGGCUUAGUGGUAGAGUGCUUGCCUAGCAUGCAUGAAGCCCUAGGUUCGAUUCCCCAGUAUCA
RNAcentral lists this transfer RNA (70 nucleotides) under Dipodomys ordii (Ord's kangaroo rat). It matches the Rfam family "tRNA". From Rfam's summary of the family: Transfer RNA (tRNA) molecules are approximately 80 nucleotides in length. Their secondary structure includes four short double-helical elements and three loops (D, anti-codon, and T loops). Lineage: Eukaryota; Metazoa; Chordata; Mammalia; Rodentia; Heteromyidae. The record is from Rfam by way of RNAcentral.